This 28-nucleotide non-coding RNA is filed under the name Rattus norvegicus (Norway rat). The record is from RNAcentral. Lineage: Eukaryota; Metazoa; Chordata; Mammalia; Rodentia; Muridae.
UUCCCUCAGAAUUAAGAUUGCAAGGGGA